UACGGGAGGCAGCAGUGAGGAAUAUUGGUCAAUGGGCGAGAGCCUGAACCAGCCAAGUAGCGUGCAGGAUGACGGCCCUAUGGGUUGUAAACUGCUUUUAUGCGGGGAUAAAGAGUCGCACGUGUGCGACGUUGCAGGUACCGCAUGAAUAAGGACCGGCUAAUUCCGUGCCAGCAGCCGCGGUAAU
This 187-nucleotide ribosomal RNA is filed under the name uncultured rumen bacterium. RNAcentral's name for it is "partial 16S ribosomal RNA". It matches the Rfam family "Bacterial small subunit ribosomal RNA", at positions 340 to 524 of the family's 1533-position model. The record is from RNAcentral.